UAUUAAAAAUUUCAUUCAUUUGUACUAUUGAAAACUAGUGUGAUUGAUAGAAUAACCAAAAAGUGAAACGUGACAUAUCAUGUAUACCUCAUGCUAAUAUACAGAGACUAAUUUUUAACAACAAAAAUGGAUGAAAUUUUUAACA
This is a non-coding RNA of Gossypium hirsutum (cotton), 145 nucleotides long. The record is from Rfam. Lineage: Eukaryota; Viridiplantae; Streptophyta; Magnoliopsida; Malvales; Malvaceae.